CCAAUAGCGUAUAUUAAAGUUGUUGCAGUUAAAAAGCUCGUAGUUGAAUUUCGGGGUCAGUAGGUUGGUCAUGCCACUGGUAUGUACUGGUCUCACUGAUUCUUCCUUCCUGAUGAGCCGUAAUGCCAUUAAUUUGGUGUUGCGAGGAAUCUGGCCUGUUCCUUUGAAAAAAUUAGAGUGUUUAAAGCAGGCUACCGCUUGAAUACAUUAGCAUGGAAUAAUGAAAUAGGACGUUCGAUCUUAUUUUGUUGGUUUCUAGGAUUGACGUAAUGAUUAAUAGGGAUAGUUGGGGGCAUUAGUAUUCAAUUGUCAGAGGUGAAAUUCUUGGAUUUAUUGAAGACUAACUACUGCGAAAGCAUUUGCCAAGGAUGUUUUCAUUAAUCAAGAACGAAAGUUAGGGGAUCGAAGACGAUCAGAUACCGUCGUAGUCUUAACCAUAAACUAUGCCGACUAGGGAUCGGAUGAUGUUAAUUUUUUAAUGACUCAUUCGGCGCCUUACG
RNAcentral lists this ribosomal RNA (500 nucleotides) under uncultured Glomeromycotina. Its description in RNAcentral is "partial small subunit ribosomal RNA". It matches the Rfam family "Eukaryotic small subunit ribosomal RNA", at positions 591 to 1092 of the family's 1831-position model. The record is from RNAcentral. Lineage: Eukaryota; Fungi; Glomeromycota.